UACGUAGGGUGCGAGCGUUAAUCGGAAUUACUGGGCGUAAAGCGUGCGCAGGCGGUUCGUUGUGUCGGCGGUGAAAGCCCCGGGCUUAACCUGGGAAUGGCCGUUGAAACUGGCGAACUGGAGUGUGGCAGAGGGGGGUAGAAUUCCACGUGUAGCAGUGAAAUGCGUAGAUAUGUGGAGGAACACCGAUGGCGAAGGCAGCCCCCUGGGUCAAGACUGACGCUCAUGCACGAAAGCGUGGGGAGCAAACAGG
Molecule: ribosomal RNA, 253 nt
Filed under: uncultured bacterium
Lineage: Bacteria
Description: partial 16S ribosomal RNA
Rfam family: Bacterial small subunit ribosomal RNA
Source: RNAcentral